AACGAACGCUGGCGGCAGGCCUAACACAUGCAAGUCGAGCGCCCUUUCGGGGGAGCGGCGGUCGGGUGAGUAACGCGUGGGAAUAUGCCCUUCUCUACGGAAUAGCCUCGGGAAACUGAGAGUAAUACCGUAUAAGCCCUUCGGGGGAAAGAUUUAUCGGGGAAGGAUUAGCCCGCGUUGGAUUAGGUAGUUGGUGGGGUAAUGGCCUACCAAGCCGACGAUCCAUAGCUGGUUUGAGAGGAUGAUCAGCCACACUGGGACUGAGACACGGCCCAGACUCCUACGGGAGGCAGCAGUGGGGAAUCUUAGACAAUGGGGGCAACCCUGAUCUAGCCAUGCCGCGUGAGUGAUGAAGUCCUUAGGGUUGUAAAGCUCUUUCAGCUGGGAAGAUAAUGACGGUACCAGCAGAAGAAGCCCCGGCUAACUCCGUG
This 431-nucleotide ribosomal RNA is filed under the name uncultured bacterium. RNAcentral's name for it is "partial 16S ribosomal RNA". It matches the Rfam family "Bacterial small subunit ribosomal RNA", at positions 29 to 507 of the family's 1533-position model. The record is from RNAcentral.